This is a long non-coding RNA of Lycium barbarum (goji berry), 871 nucleotides long. RefSeq lists it as uncharacterized. Lineage: Eukaryota; Viridiplantae; Streptophyta; Magnoliopsida; Solanales; Solanaceae. The transcript is spliced from 3 exons. The record is from RefSeq and is a predicted model, not a curated record.
UUUAAUUCUCAAAUUACCCUCUCACCUAAAGCCCUAAAAGUCACGAUCUGUUCCUCAUUUCUUCUACAACAACACAGCCUCCACGAUCUGUUCAUCAUCUUCUACAACAACGCAGCCUCUAGGAAGCUCUAAAUUUUCCUCAACUGCCCAUUAUUAACCAAUUCGCUAUUCACAGAAAUUAAGUCAGAUCGAAGAUUCUGAGAAUCUUAUGACACUGCAAUUGGAAAACUACCAUCACCCUUUACCAUCUACUUUGUAGUUAAAUGGAGAGUUGGGAUAUUAGCAAUGUGGUAUCUCCUUAUUUAAGUGAUUUGUUAGAUGACGAAGAUCAAGAACUAGAAGAGAUUUGGAGAGAGCAAGAUGAGAAGGAGCGGAUGGCUUUAUGUCAUAGAGCGCACAUUUGGCGUUUGGAAAGCAAGAUGGUCUAUUUUGAGAGACAUGCCAUACUAUCACAUUGACACACAAAGGGACAUCGUACUUGUUACUAUGGCCAUUCACAAUUAUAUUAGAAAGAAAUGCAAUGUGGAUGAUGCAUUCCAAACAGCCGAGAAUGAGAGUUAUAUUCCAUCGGUUGAUUCUAAUGAUAUUGGCACAACUUCAAGAGCUAACAAUGUAGAUGUCGAAGAUGUAGGAGAACAAAGUGAUGUCUAUUGGAUGGGGUUUCGUGAUAUGAUUGCUAGUGACAUUUCUAAUGCUUGAUGCUUGUAUUAUAUGAAUAUUUUCCACUUCGUGUAUUUAUAGUGGAGUGCUUUCGGUUGUAUUAACACUUUUAUUUUGUGUCAAAUUCUCCAUCUUUGAAAUAUGAAUAGUAUUACCCUUUUUUAAGUCAUGUUGAUCCUAACUUAUUAAAAAAAUUGUGCUCUUUAUAGUA